This 433-nucleotide ribosomal RNA is filed under the name uncultured bacterium. RNAcentral's name for it is "partial 16S ribosomal RNA". It matches the Rfam family "Bacterial small subunit ribosomal RNA", at positions 29 to 507 of the family's 1533-position model. The record is from RNAcentral.
AACGAACGCUGGCGGCAUGCCUAACACAUGCAAGUCGAACGAGACCUUCGGGUCUAGUGGCGCACGUGUGCUUAACGCGUGGUAACCUGCCCUUAGGUUCGGAAUAACUCCCCGAAAGGGGUGCUAAUACCGGAUAAUGUCUUCGGACCAAAGAUUUAUCGCCUUUGGAUGGGCCCGCGUUGGAUUAGCUAGUUGGUAGGGUAAAAGCCUACCAAGGCGACGAUCCAUAGCUGGUCUGAGAGGAUGAUCAGCCACACUGGGACUGAGACACGGCCCAGACUCCUACGGGAGGCAGCAGUGGGGAAUAUUGGACAAUGGGGGAAAGUCUGAUCCAGCAAUGCCGCGUGAGUGAUGAAGGCCUUAGGGUUGUAAAGCUCUUUUACCCGGGAUGAUAAUGACAGUACCGGGAGAAUAAGCUCCGGCUAACUCCGUG